GGCCUGAUAGUGUAGUGGUAACACUCGCAGAUUCCAUUGUGGAGAAUAAGAACUUCACUGCCCGCCCCAUGUUCAAUUUAAGGUUGGGUCU
Mycena alexandri is the source of this 91-nucleotide non-coding RNA. The record is from the annotation of a GenBank genome assembly. Lineage: Eukaryota; Fungi; Basidiomycota; Agaricomycetes; Agaricales; Mycenaceae.